AAACCUCAUAGACAAAUCAUGUCUCCUCCUCCUACUUUCUCUUCUUGCUCGUACCAGUCACCGAACUAGCCAGAGGUUUCGUCGCCGGCGAACGCAACCUACUCAAUCGACCACCAAAAGAACACCCCAUAUUCUCUUUCUAUUCCUCAUUCCAAAUAUCAAUAUGGUUUUCCUCGAAUCCUCUCACAUUUUGUCGAAUCUUCAUUGGAAUAUUUUCUGUCGACGAUGCAUGUUACGCCAAAUGAUCCCAAAAUAACACCAUAAGACCUCCUUGGCAUCCCCUACACAAAUCUCAUAGCCGCUUGGCAUGAAUGUGGCUAGAAAGACUCAAAUAUCCGAUUCAAUUUUCUGGCCAAAAACCUAAAAUGGCCACAAUUCAUGCAACUGAUGACAAAAGGCCCCUAGGCCUCCCUUGCAAGAAUUGGUAAUCAGUGGAGCUUAAAUGACCCCAAAAUUGGCUGAGUUCUGGGAAUAACGACUAAUGGCCGGAGUUAUCCGUUUAUUAGUGAGUUGUACAAUUUCUUUCAAUUAAACCUUCCUCGUGUGUUUAUGCUUUCUGCUUCAUGUUCUAUUAGUUAAUAAGUAUCCUAAAAUGUUAAAUUAGUUUUGAUAAUGAUUUGGGGGUUUUGUUGCGUCUUUCAUUUGGGUGUUAAAUGUUGGCUUAACUCAGCUUAAUUAGGUUGUUAGUUUUGAUGCAGAAUUUAGUGAUUAGUUAAUUCUUGUCAAUUUCUUUGAUUGAUUUCUGUAGUUAAGUGUCGUUUUAUUAUUUUGGUUGGAUAAAUAUAGAUUUUAGUUAAACAUGGUUUCAAAUUUGUUUAAUCUCGGAUGAAAUGGCUUAAUGUUCUUCAUUAGUCUAAUGGUUUAAGGAGUAAAUGUUUUUUGAUCCAGUUUAGUUUAGUUAGUGAAGCCUUAGGCUAAUUAAUUAAUAGAGGGAAAAUUUGGGAAUUUCAUUUGCGGGCUGAAUCUGGGAAAUGCUAGAAUCUUCUAAAUGGGGACCUAUAGAUAGUUUCAGAGAACAGUGGUAGUUACUUGGUUAGCAAGGCAAUAAGUUGGGGGGUAAAAAUAAUAAUAAAGAGGGACCGAAAGGGUAAUUUUGAAAACUUGGUUCAGCUAUAAAUACAAGGUGCAUUGCCUUGUGAAGGGGUCUUCAAUUUUCAACCCUUAAAACUACCAUAGAAAACUCUUUUCCAUCAUUUUAGUUUCAGAUUUGGCUUUGAAUUCAAGUCAAGAAAAAAAAACAAAAAACAAAUCAAAAAUAGCAAAAAUAGUCGAUGUUUCAUUAGAGUUUCAGUCUGAGUUUGAGUUGAUUUUUGCAUCAAGCUUUCCUUAUUUGGCUCAAAGGUUUAAACUGGUUUUCGAGUGUUAAUUGUUGUUGGAUUCUAGAAUUACUGGUUGAUUUCAAUGGGUUUGUUUGAAGAUGUGUGUCCUUGUUGUGUUGUUGUGGUGAAUUUAUAGUCCAUUUUGGUCACUUGAGGAUUGCUUUGGGCUGAGUUUCUCCAGCCUGAUUUUACUCACAAUCUCCUGGUUUAUUCACACAAGUUUGGUUGUGUUUUCUGCCUAAAUUUUGUUGUUGUUGGUUAUUGCUUUGCUGCUGAUUACUUUUCCUCUUACUUUACUUCAAUUCCAGGUACAUACCUUGGGCCUGAUUCGAUGUAGCCUUUCAAGUUGAAAAAUAAAAUGGAAACACUCGCAUAUUUUCUCCUUAGACUGUGUUUGUUAGACUGUUACAUGUUAAUAUUGAACAAAUUUUUGACAUAGAUCAAUUUUUGAUCUAUGUGUAUAAACAUGGAUGGUAUAAUUGGACUCUAUAUCUUGACUAUAUCAUUUGUGAAUUGGUCUUCAUGCACGCAUUUAAUACUUGGAUGUUGUAGCAGAGUAAUACUAUUGUAGAUGUUCAAUUGUUGUCACUAAUGGUAUAUUUCAUAUAGUGUAAUUUGGGUGUUCAGUUGUAGCUGUAGUAACUCUUGUACUUAGCUUCAUAACCGUUGUAGUAGUUGUUAGAGUUUAAUAUUGAGAAUGUGGAACUUAGCAAUAAUUCGCAUAGGUUUCUGUUAGAUAAUACGCUUAACGCUAGAGGGGGAGGGGGUGAAUAGCGUUAUGAUAAAAAUUAGCGUAAACUUGCGGAAUUUAAAAAUUGCAGG
RNAcentral lists this long non-coding RNA (2141 nucleotides) under Nicotiana benthamiana. RNAcentral's name for it is "long non-coding RNA (NBEN_LNC040235)". Lineage: Eukaryota; Viridiplantae; Streptophyta; Magnoliopsida; Solanales; Solanaceae. The record is from RNAcentral.